UUGUGCAGAGCUGCUGAAAAACAUGGCUGGUGUUUCCAGCUACUGUCCACAAGCUCAUAAUCACAAUACUUCUAAAAUUCCAGGAAUCUGCACCGUAGGAUACUUGAUGACAUAGCAAAUAACUCCUCCAUUGAUGCAGCAGCUCUCAGAAACAACUCUGGCAUUUACUCUCUGAGAAGUAAAUAUUGACUUAACAGCAUCUACCAGAGCAUAUGCAAAAGGCAUACGAAUGAUUGCUUCUGCCAGUGCAGACUCACAUGUUCAGAAUCACACCUGCCACUUUAUUCUGAAUCACUGAACCAUGUAAAUCAUGAGAGAGAAACCUCCACUUACAACUGAAAUGAAAAGUAGCCAUGAGACUCUCUUCCAAUUUAAUCCAGCCCAUAACUCUAUUCUUAGAUGGACAUUUUACAUGCAACAUCCCAGUCCUGCCAAUAUACAUAAAUAUAAAUGACUCUACCAGGGGAGAAGACUGGGCAACACCCAUCAGCAUCCUGAGACCAUUUGCCACUAUGUGGUUCUGGGCUUUUUAGGUUGGAGACUGAUUCUGUCUGAACUCCAAAAGAAGUAAAAGAAAAGCCUAUAACCUGAAGGGACACCAAGCCAGGAAACAGAUUUUCAGUGAGAUCAUUUCAUACUUCUUCAUAGCUUAUGUUUACUCUAGUUAACAUCCACCUAACUUUAAGGACUCUCUACAUUUUGAAGAAUUGAUUGUUGCUAAAUUCUAAAUGCUUUGCUUUUCAACUACAGCUUGAUAGCCUGGAAUGUACACAUACUGCCCUCUGCAACUCCUCCAGCAGAACCUAGGAAAAGCAAUUUCAUUGCUCUCUUUAUUGCUAAACAAAAUAUAAGCCCAGCAGAAUAAAGGGCUUUACUUAGACUCCUCUAAUUUUCUCAUUGUUUAGGUAUGUUCCACAUUAAAAUAA
Molecule: long non-coding RNA, 926 nt
Organism: Passer domesticus (house sparrow)
Lineage: Eukaryota; Metazoa; Chordata; Aves; Passeriformes; Passeridae
Exons: 2
Source: RefSeq, a predicted model, not a curated record